RNAcentral lists this ribosomal RNA (424 nucleotides) under uncultured bacterium. Its description in RNAcentral is "bacterial SSU rRNA". It matches the Rfam family "Bacterial small subunit ribosomal RNA", at positions 359 to 775 of the family's 1533-position model. The record is from RNAcentral.
GAAUAUUGGACAAUGGGGGCAACCCUGAUCCAGCCAUGCCGCGUGUGUGAAGAAGGCCUUCGGGUUGUAAAGCACUUUAAGUGGGGAGGAAGGCUUGAUGGUUAAUACCCAUCAGGAUUGACGUUACCCACAGAAUAAGCACCGGCUAACUCCGUGCCAGCAGCCGCGGUAAUACGGAGGGUGCAAGCGUUAAUCGGAAUUACUGGGCGUAAAGCGCACGUAGGUGGCUGAAUAAGUCGGAUGUGAAAGCCCUGGGCUCAACCUGGGAAUUGCAUUCGAUACUGUUCGGCUAGAGUACGGUAGAGGGAGGUAGAAUUCCUAGUGUAGCGGUGAAAUGCGUAGAUAUUAGGAGGAAUACCGGUGGCGAAGGCGGCCUCCUGGACUGAUACUGACACUGAGGUGCGAAAGCGUGGGGAGCAAACAG